Molecule: ribosomal RNA, 443 nt
Filed under: uncultured bacterium
Lineage: Bacteria
Description: partial 16S ribosomal RNA
Rfam family: Bacterial small subunit ribosomal RNA
Source: RNAcentral
CCUACGGGAGGCUGCAGUGGGGAAUAUUGGGCAAUGGGCGCAAGCCUGACCCAGCAACGCCGCGUGAAGGAAGAAGGCUUUCGGGUUGUCAACUUCUUUUCUAAGGGACGAAGAAAGUGACGGUACCUGAGGAAUAAGCUUCGGCUAACUACGUGCCAGCAGCCGCGGUAAUACGUAGGUGGCAAGCGUUAUCCGGAUUUACUGGGUGUAAAGGGCGGGUAGGCGGGAAAGCAAGUCAGAUGUGAAAACCAUGGGCUCAACCUGUGGCCUGCAUUUGAAACUGUUUUUCUUGAGUACUGGAGAGGCAGACGGAAUUCCUAGUGUAGCGGUGAAAUGCGUAGAUAUUAGGAGGAACACCAGUGGCGAAGGCGGUCUGCUGGACAGCAACUGACGCUGAGGCGCGAAAGCGUGGGGAGCAAACAGGAUUAGAUACCCCUGUAGUC